Molecule: ribosomal RNA, 1445 nt
Filed under: uncultured organism
Description: SSU rRNA
Rfam family: Bacterial small subunit ribosomal RNA
Source: RNAcentral
AGCUACAGGCUUAACACAUGCAAGUCGAGGGGCAGCAUGGUCUUAGCUUGCUAAGGCCGAUGGCGACCGGCGCACGGGUGAGUAACACGUAUCCAACCUGCCGUCUACUCUUGGACAGCCUUCUGAAAGGAAGAUUAAUACAAGAUGGCAUCAUGAGUCCGCAUGUUCACAUGAUUAAAGGUAUUCCGGUAGACGAUGGGGAUGCGUUCCAUUAGAUAGUAGGCGGGGUAACGGCCCACCUAGUCUUCGAUGGAUAGGGGUUCUGAGAGGAAGGUCCCCCACAUUGGAACUGAGACACGGUCCAAACUCCUACGGGAGGCAGCAGUGAGGAAUAUUGGUCAAUGGGCGAGAGCCUGAACCAGCCAAGUAGCGUGAAGGAUGACUGCCCUAUGGGUUGUAAACUUCUUUUAUAAAGGAAUAAAGUCGGGUAUGGAUACCCGUUUGCAUGUACUUUAUGAAUAAGGAUCGGCUAACUCCGUGCCAGCAGCCGCGGUAAUACGGAGGAUCCGAGCGUUAUCCGGAUUUAUUGGGUUUAAAGGGAGCGUAGAUGGAUGUUUAAGUCAGUUGUGAAAGUUUGCGGCUCAACCGUAAAAUUGCAGUUGAUACUGGAUAUCUUGAGUGCAGUUGAGGCAGGCGGAAUUCGUGGUGUAGCGGUGAAAUGCUUAGAUAUCACGAAGAACUCCGAUUGCGAAGGCAGCCUGCUAAGCUGCAACUGACAUUGAGGCUCGAAAGUGUGGGUAUCAAACAGGAUUAGAUACCCUGGUAGUCCACACGGUAAACGAUGAAUACUCGCUGUUUGCGAUAUACAGCAAGCGGCCAAGCGAAAGCGUUAAGUAUCCCACCUGGGGAGUACGCCGGCAACGGUGAAACUCAAAGGAAUUGACGGGGGCCCGCACAAGCGGAGGAACAUGUGGUUUAAUUCGAUGAUACGCGAGGAACCUUACCCGGGCUUAAAUUGCAGAUGAAUUACGGUGAAAGCCGUAAGCCGCAAGGCAUCUGUGAAGGUGCUGCAUGGUUGUCGUCAGCUCGUGCCGUGAGGUGUCGGCUUAAGUGCCAUAACGAGCGCAACCCUUGUUGUCAGUUACUAACAGGUUCCGCUGAGGACUCUGACAAGACUGCCAUCGUAAGAUGUGAGGAAGGUGGGGAUGACGUCAAAUCAGCACGGCCCUUACGUCCGGGGCUACACACGUGUUACAAUGGGGGGUACAGAGGGCCGCUACCACGCGAGUGGAUGCCAAUCCCCAAAACCUCUCUCAGUUCGGACUGGAGUCUGCAACCCGACUCCACGAAGCUGGAUUCGCUAGUAAUCGCGCAUCAGCCACGGCGCGGUGAAUACGUUCCCGGGCCUUGUACACACCGCCCGUCAAGCCAUGGGAGCCGGGGGUACCUGAAGUGCGUAACCGCGAGGAGCGCCCUAGGGUAAAACUGGUGACUGGGGCUAAGUA